This 296-nucleotide ribosomal RNA is filed under the name Streptomyces cavourensis. RNAcentral's name for it is "partial 23S ribosomal RNA". It matches the Rfam family "Bacterial large subunit ribosomal RNA", at positions 1753 to 2038 of the family's 2925-position model. The record is from RNAcentral. Lineage: Bacteria; Bacillati; Actinomycetota; Actinomycetes; Kitasatosporales; Streptomycetaceae.
GUUUACCUCUUGAGCUGGGGGUGGCCGCAGAGACCAGCGAGAAGCGACUGUUUACUAAAAACACAGGUCCGUGCGAAGCCGUAAGGCGAUGUAUACGGACUGACGCCUGCCCGGUGCUGGAACGUUAAGGGGACCGGUUAGCUGCUCUUCGGGGUGGCGAAGCUGAGAACUUAAGCGCCAGUAAACGGCGGUGGUAACUAUAACCAUCCUAAGGUAGCGAAAUUCCUUGUCGGGUAAGUUCCGACCUGCACGAAUGGCGUAACGACUUCUCGACUGUCUCAACCAUAGGCCCGGUG